Molecule: ribosomal RNA, 217 nt
Filed under: uncultured bacterium
Lineage: Bacteria
Description: partial 16S ribosomal RNA
Rfam family: Bacterial small subunit ribosomal RNA
Source: RNAcentral
CGUCCCAGUUCGGACUGUAGUCUGCAACCCGACUACACGAAGCUGGAAUCGCUAGUAAUCGCGAAUCAGCAUGUCGCGGUGAAUACGUUCCCGGGUCUUGUACACACCGCCCGUCACACCAUGGGAGUCGGGAAUGCCCGAAGCCGGUGACCCAACCUUAGGGAGGGAGCCGUCGAAGGCAGGUCUGAUAACUGGGGUGAAGUCGUAACAAGGUAGC